This is a long non-coding RNA of Panicum virgatum (switchgrass), 1316 nucleotides long. RefSeq lists it as uncharacterized. NCBI's taxonomy places the organism in Eukaryota, Viridiplantae, Streptophyta, Magnoliopsida, Poales, Poaceae. The record is from RefSeq and is a predicted model, not a curated record. The transcript is spliced from 3 exons.
AUGUCAUUAACAAAGCUGCUGGGCCAUUUUUAAGUCAACAGCUGCAGAUCCACACUAAAGCUUGAGAUUGACAACCUCAACAAGAUCUUCACAAGCAUUUCUGGCAGGCGGACAUCUGGCUCGGGAUGGUCCGCAACUUGCUGGAGUCUUCCACGGCAGGGUCUUUUCUGUGGCUGGUGGCUCAGGCGCCCUUCCUUCCUCGAACUUGGUUGUGAAAUGGUCCAUCCACAAGUUCUCGUGUCCUCCAGCGUGAUGCAGCUGCUUUAAGAGAUCCAGAGCCGUUAGUUCGGGUACUCACUGAGCUAGGUGUUUGAUGAUGUUUUGGCCUCCAUCUAACUGGCCUUGUGCAUGCCUGAUCUGCAGUUUGCUGCAAUAGUAGACUGCAGUAGCGAGCAGUAGUAAUAUGCAGGCAGAUAUGCACUAAGUGUAGCUAAUGCUCUUCCCCGAAGCAAAGCAAGGUACAUGCAAGAGUUAAACAAAAUUCAGGUACGUAGUAGGUUCCUUUUCCAUGGUGCAACUGCAUCAAUGCACUAUUGUUUGGUGUGAACUUGAUAUCUUGGCCUCAUUUAGUUUUUGGACAUCUUUGGUGAGUGCGGGAAAAAUAAUACCUGCUGCUAUGUUGUUAAUUUAUUAUCCCAUGUUCUCUGAAUUGAUUUUGGAAACUAGUGCUUGACGUUCUGUUUAUUAUGAUAAACAUGAAAAAAACAAUAACCUUGCCUUACAUAAAAGCUUAUAAAUGGUACCAUGUUAUCUUGUAUUUUUGUAUGUAUCUUCUGUGUCCUGAUGUCAUUGUUCAUUUCGGUACAAGGAUAAGAGCUUGACCAUUUCAAAGCAAAUAGUUGAUUUAAAGAUGCAGCCUCCUUUGAUAGACUUAGCUAGUAAAUACUGUACUUAAGCUAGUGUAUUAUUGUGCCAAGUAAUUUGGAGAUGCAACCAGCAUUGUCCUUUUGCAAAUAAUCAAAACAUGCUUUGUUUAUUCCAUGGCUAAUUUCACCAUGUGCUAUACCACGGGCAGGUAUGCUGAAAUAAUCACCUAUCCUUGCAUACAUUCAUGAUUAAUGUCUUGUUAGUGUGAUUUGGAUCUGUGGCUUGGUUUCUUUUAGAUUUCAAAAAACAAUCACCUAUUUGCAUAUUCAUGAUUAAUCUCUUGUUUAGUGUGAUCUGGACUGAAUUGUGUUAUGUUUUUCCCUCAGGAUGCAAAUUGUGGCCAAGGCACCUAUGGUAAUUGCGUGUACUGUGUAGGGUCAGAUAGCUUGUUCUAAGUCAGAUAUGAGCAUGUUUAAGCUACAGGGUUAAAUGGUCUUUGAGAUUGCAUG